ACCUCAGCUUUUAUUGGAAAGGUACCACUAUAACUAUAUUCAUACUAUCUGCUAGUCAUUAUUAGAAAAAUGAGAAAGUAGCACUUAUAAAAUUCAUAGUCCAGUGACUAUGUAACCAUAUGGAGAAGUAUAGCUAUGAUAGAUCAGGAUUUGUGGUUUGGUGGGAAUUCAUAAACUUGGCAUUCUUGGAUGUCAGAGUGUAUGCGAAGGUGUUCAGAAUUACGUUUUGGUUUUAUGGGAAGAUGGACCAAGACAUAUGGAGAAUAGACUGCUGGAACUCUUAGACCACAAUUAUACCAUAGAAUCCAAAUUGGGUUUCAUAUUUAAUUGAAGAACACUUGUGUUUAAAGAAUUAAGAAAUAAGAUUUGGUUAUAAAAUAAUAUAAAACAUAAAUUAAAACACACACGCCUGCAACCCCAAAGAAAAACAAAUAGAGAGAAUAGCAUAAGGAAAAAAAAAAAUGAAAAGAAGGAAACAAUGUGGAGUUGGUUGGCAUAAACUAGGAUUGUCACUUUGCUUGAUCCAUUGACGUGAAAAUACAACUUGUGCAUUCUUUAAACUGGUGAAUAGAUUAUGAGACCAUCAUUUUUGAAAAUUCAGUUGUUGAUGUGCAACAACCUUUCUUCUUGCAAUCCAAACUCCCAUUAGGGUGUGAGGGUGCUUGGAGUUGCACGGGUUCCUGGUAACUAACAGUUGGUCCACAACCCAGAGAGAUUGGUGAUAACCCCUAACUCUUGACUGGCAUCAAAGAUAAGUCUAGUGCCUUAUAUAGGCUUUGCCUUGUAUUUGUGAUGCUUUCAACUCGAAUCAUGAACCACAUAACCCGUACCAGAGUAAUCAUGUAUCUUCUUUUGCAAUCAGUCUAACCAUUUAAAACAGCUUUAAGUCAUCUUUGCCUUUUAUUGUAUUUAGGGGUUAAGCCUAUUUAUCAUAGUUGUCUUGAUGUUUCUCUUUUCAUCUUAUAUGCUUUUAAGACACAUAGCACUCAUUUUCCUGUGUUCUUCACAUUUUUUGAGAAGUUCAUAUGACUAAAUUCAUUGUGCAAUGAUCAUACUAAUU
This 1060-nucleotide unclassified non-coding RNA is filed under the name Hevea brasiliensis (rubber tree). Lineage: Eukaryota; Viridiplantae; Streptophyta; Magnoliopsida; Malpighiales; Euphorbiaceae. The record is from RNAcentral.